UUGUCGUCCCGCGCCUUCCAGCGCCGCCCAAUCAGGUCGCAGAUCGCCGGGCGCCGUUUUGGGAGUACGUUGGCGUGCGGAGCAGCCCGCCCUGCCUCCGGAAGUUACGCGCUCAGUCCCGCCCCCGGAGAAUCCCGGGCGCCGGCCGGGGUUGGGUCUACAGUGCUGGUUACCCUGAGCGAGUGAGCCGCGGUCUCAGCGGCUGUAGUCGUUGUUGACUCCGGCAGGUCGACGGUCCGAUCCCCGGCCUAAGGUCGCCUGGCCGCUCUGUUUCUCGCUUCUGCCGGUUCCUUGAGGUGAACACGCCCGCAGACCUCGAGUGGCCGGCCGAGACGGUGCUGCGCAGCAGAUUCAUUGUCGCGAAUGCCUAGUGGACCUCGCCGUCGAACCAGCAGCCCGCCGGGUUGUGCAAUUCUAGGGUCUAAACUUGAAGUGGGGAGCAGGUGGAUGCAGGAGAACUAAAGUUGCAGCAAGAAGUGAUCACCUCAGUGUCCUUGGUGGAGGAGGACACAGCUGUACCUGAAGCAAGCCUUCCUGACUGUGGGGGUUCCUUGAAGUACGUCAUGGAUGAUGGAGGACCCCAGGGCCAUCCUCACUGUUACAGGAUUUGUCCAAUGCACCCAGGUGGCCACAUGAUUGAUGUUUUCUCAGGAAUAAAGCAUUACAUUGAAGAAUCUUACAUAAUUCAGAAGGUUUGACAUACUAUGGAGAAAGAAAGGAACAUGGAACUUGGAAAUUAGCUGAACUCUAACUGUGAAGACACAGCUGAAGCUCUGGGAAAUAUUUUCUUGCUUGAAGUGGAUCUAUCCUUGCUUCCAGAGGGCAGCAGAGGAGGGGAAAUCAGCUUGGACACAUUUUUCAGGGCAUCUUGGUUUGUUGAAAAAGAGGUGCUGGCUUGGUAUGAACUAUUCUGCAGAGACAAUGGCUGAGAAUGAACAAAGUGAAAACCGGUCUGGAACACACAGGUAAGGGGUUGUGCAGAGUAGGGGGUAGGGGUCACAGCCCUGGCCAAUUUACCUAGGUUCAGAAGGUGUGAGGGGUUGGUGGUGUUUCACCAUAAGUAAUUUCACAGAAGAAUGGCUUUUGGAUGUUGAUGUAUUUUGUAGUUGGUAGAGAAGUCGGAGAGAGGGCACCCCAUCUGUCUGAAAGGAUCUGCAAAUCUCAAUAGACGUGACAGCUGAGUGCUCUUAAGAAGGUACCUGGCUUUCACAGGGCUCACUUUGAGCCUGCACGCAGGACUGAUUAAGACAAUAAAAAGAAUUGUUCUAAGGAUGGGGUAUUGGAAGAAUGAUGCACCUUGUAAUCUUGGGAAGAGGGUGGAUCUGGAGUCCACUGUGGAGUUACUUCACGAGAGUGGUGGUGGACCUGCAGCGUCUGGCUGAUGAGAUACCGGCCUUUUUUUAUGAAGUAUGGGCGUGGUUUCUGUGACUUUGUUCUAAGGGCUGGAAUUUCCAAGGAGCAGGAUUGUUAAGAUGUAGGUUCCUGUAAGAGUUGAUGCCUGGGGAGUGGACAAGUCCCCUUUUGUUGCUGGGAAGUAUGUCUCUAGCGGCUGGAGUGGGUAUUACAGGCAUCUGGUAAGUGAUGGGGUGGUUACAGGGGACAGCAGGCUGUUGUCACUCAUGAUCUUAAUGGAUGCAUUCCUUAUGGAGAGAUGUUAGAUUUUAUGGAUAGGUAUCCUCAUAAAGUGUGAUUGUUGAGUUUAAUAGUAGAUAUAUUUUUAUUACUUCUAUCAACCUCCUUGUAGUUGGUAUUCCAAUGAGCGGUGUGUUACAAUAUUGCCUGCGUUUUAUGUAUUUGCAUACUGAAAAUGUUGAUGACUCCCCUACAAAUUGUACGCUGGAACAUCCAAUUAAUUAUUAAUACAGUUUUAUUUUUGACAAUGAAAUAAGUGUCCUCCUGUGAUUCUUAGCUUAAGCCAGGGGGAGGGAGCCCUGUUUGGUACCAGUAGUGAGUAAUGAUAUGGGAAACUUUCAGCUGUUAAUGUUUGUCAGCCUUGCUCCUGGGCUCCCCCGAGAAGCUACAAUUUAACAUUUACCAAGGUCAGAAUGACCUGGCAGAACUUCAGAGCAUGGACUCUAUUUCUUCCCUGAGCACACAUUGUAUCUCUGCUUCAUUAAACAAACAUACAAAAGGGGCGCCUGGGUGGUGCAGUCGGUUAAGCGUCCGACUUCAGCCAGGUCACAAUCUCGUGGUCCGUGGGUUCGUGCCCCGCGU
Molecule: long non-coding RNA, 2214 nt
Organism: Felis catus (domestic cat)
Lineage: Eukaryota; Metazoa; Chordata; Mammalia; Carnivora; Felidae
Exons: 4
Source: RefSeq, a predicted model, not a curated record